Molecule: ribosomal RNA, 495 nt
Filed under: uncultured bacterium
Lineage: Bacteria
Description: partial 16S ribosomal RNA
Rfam family: Bacterial small subunit ribosomal RNA
Source: RNAcentral
GACGAACGCUGGCGGCGUGCCUAAUACAUGCAAGUAGAACGCUGAAGGAGGAGCUUGCUCUUCUGGAUGAGUUGCGAACGGGUGAGUAACGCGUAGGUAACCUGCCUGGUAGCGGGGGAUAACUAUUGGAAACGAUAGCUAAUACCGCAUAAGAGUAGAUGUUGCAUGACAUUUGCUUAAAAGGUGCAAUUGCAUCACUACCAGAUGGACCUGCGUUGUAUUAGCUAGUUGGUGGGGUAACGGCUCACCAAGGCGACGAUACAUAGCCGACCUGAGAGGGUGAUCGGCCACACUGGGACUGAGACACGGCCCAGACUCCUACGGGAGGCAGCAGUAGGGAAUCUUCGGCAAUGGACGGAAGGCUGACCGAGCAACGCCGCGUGAGUGAAGAAGGUUUUCGGAUCGUAAAGCUCUGUUGUAAGAGAAGAACGAGUGUGAGAGUGGAAAGUUCACACUGUGACGGUAUCUUACCAGAAAGGGACGGCUAACUACGUG